Small nucleolar RNA from Harpegnathos saltator (Jerdon's jumping ant), 80 nucleotides. RefSeq annotates it as small nucleolar RNA snR60/Z15/Z230/Z193/J17. The transcript has a single exon. The record is from RefSeq and is a predicted model, not a curated record. NCBI's taxonomy places the organism in Eukaryota, Metazoa, Arthropoda, Insecta, Hymenoptera, Formicidae.
UAUAUUUUUAUGAUGAGUCCAUAGUUCAUCUGAUAUGUCUCGGAUGAUUUUUAUUAUGUCUUUCGCUCCUAUCUGAUUUU